RNAcentral lists this transfer RNA (115 nucleotides) under Verrucomicrobiales bacterium. Its description in RNAcentral is "tRNA-OTHER". The stretch from base 43 to 112 matches the Rfam family "tRNA". From Rfam's summary of the family: Transfer RNA (tRNA) molecules are approximately 80 nucleotides in length. Their secondary structure includes four short double-helical elements and three loops (D, anti-codon, and T loops). Further hydrogen bonds mediate the characteristic L-shaped molecular structure. tRNAs have two regions of fundamental functional importance: the anti-codon, which is responsible for specific mRNA codon recognition, and the 3' end, to which the tRNAs corresponding amino acid is attached (by aminoacyl-tRNA synthetases). tRNAs cope with the degeneracy of the genetic code in two manners: having more than one tRNA (with a specific anti-codon) for a particular amino acid; and 'wobble' base-pairing, i.e. permitting non-standard base-pairing at the 3rd anti-codon position. Lineage: Bacteria; Pseudomonadati; Verrucomicrobiota; Verrucomicrobiia; Verrucomicrobiales. The record is from RNAcentral.
GCCGAAGCAAGUGGCUGAUUUCGAGCUGCUAAGCGGAUUUUUGCGAAAUCAUCCGAACGGCGGUAACGGAUUCGUAAACCGUAGGUCAAGGGUUCAAUCCCCUUCUUUGGCUCCA